UUAGAUUUUCAGAGACCCAUCUUCAAUACUUUGAGCUCAUUCUGGUAAACUUCCUUCUACCUAUGUGCAGGUCCCUGUACUCCAGCCAACACAGGCUCAGUAACUGGAAAUGAAUUGGCUAAAAUGGUAGCACCACUGGCUUUCUUAUAGAGCUUUAGGAGUUCUUUAUGGAAAAAAGCACAGAACUAAAUUCCUCAAAAAAAAAAAAAAAAAAAAAAAGCCACACACAAAAACAAAACUCCCAUGUCUUGAUCUUAAUGAUUGUGAGCAAGGAUGGUAAAAAGCUCUGCUGGCUGGCUCCUAAGACCUUGAAUGGUAAGCUACAAUAGAGAUAUCACAGUCCCUUACAGAUUGUUCGAAAACUCGUUGGAUCAUAGUUAACAUUGUUAGAACUCUCUCACAUACAUUACGUCUGAUCCUAAAACAGUACUAUGUGAUAGGUAGUAUUGCCCAAGUUAUAGUGAUGAGGUUGAGUUUUAAAGGUUACAUGACUUAUUUAGGGUCAUAGUACUGAAUCUGAACCCAGAUCUGCCUUGAAUAUAUUAUUCUUCCCAAGUUACCACACAUCGAAGAAGACAGUGUUCAUCCCUUUCCCACACCCACUGCUUAGAAAUUUUGUCGUGGGCUAGGCGCGGUAGCUCACACCUGUAUCCCUGUAUCCCAGCACUUUGAGAGGCUGAGGUGGGCAGAUCACAUGGUCAGGAGUUUGAGACCAGCCUGGCCAAUAUGGUGAAACUCUGACUCUACUAAAAAUACAAAAAUUAGCUGGACAUGGUGGCAUGCGCCUGUGGUCCCAGCUACUUGGGAGGCUGAACCAGAAGAAUCGCUUGAACCCAGGAGGCGGAGGUUGCAGUGAGCCGAGAUCACGCCGCUGCGCUCCAGCCUGGGCAAUACAGCGAGUCUCUGUCUUCCAAAAAGAAAAAAAAUUGUCACUUCUUUAAAAAAUUAACUAUAUUUUAAAAGCCCCAGGCUUUUUAUAUGCUGCAUUUUUUGGUGUUUUUAUCAGAUACUGUUCUGCUUGUAAAGACAAUACAGUUUUCCAUAUUUUACAAAAGAAGAAAUGGGAGAAAGGGGUUUAAGUAACUUGCCCUAGUCCCACAGUAAGGAGAAGCCUGGUACCCAAACUUCUGGCUUGAGUACUCAACCACUUACUUUCUGUGCUUUACGUGGCAGCACCAUUUUGCAGAAAACUUCCAAGCAGUUUUUUUCACUUAAAAAUUAAAACCCUGUUUACUGCCACCUCUCUUGACUCUUUGCCAUGUGUUGGGCUGUACAUUUGCUUCUAAUAAAGAUAACUGGUCUAUUCUUUUUCUCUUUGAAUCGGGUCUUGCUCUUUUGCCAGGCUGGAGUGCAGUGGCAUCACAGUCAUGGCUCACUACAGCCUCAAAUUCCUAUGCUGAAGCCAUCUUCCUCCCUCAGCCUCUCAGGCAGCUGAGACUACGGGUGUGCAUCACCAUGCCCAGCUGGGGUGCAGUGGUGCAGUCUUGGCUCACUGCAACCUGCACCUCCCAGGUUCAAGCGAUUUUCCCACCUCAGCCUCCUGAGUAGCCGGGACUACAGGCAUAUGCCCCCAGGCCUGACUAAUUUUUUUGUAUUUUUACUAGAGAUGGGAUUUCACCAUGCUGGCCAGGUUGGUCUCGAACUCCUGACCUCAGGUGAUCCACUAGCCUCAGCCUCCCAGAGUGCUGGGAUUACAGAAACUGAAGGCUCAGAAGAGGAUGAUAAAGAAAAUGAUAAGACUGAAGAAAUGCCAAACGAUUCAGUCCUUGAAAACAAGUCUCUUCAAGAAAAUGAAGAGGAGGAGAUUGGGAACCUAGAGCUUGCCUGGGAUAUGCUGGAUUUAGCAAAGAUCAUUUUUAAAAGGCAAGAAACAAAAGAAGCACAGCUUUAUGCUGCCCAGGCACAUCUUAAACUCGGAGAAGUUAGUGUUGAAUCUGAAAACUAUGUGCAAGCUGUGGAGGAGUUCCAGUCCUGCCUUAACCUGCAGGAACAGUACCUGGAAGCCCACGACCGUCUCCUUGCAGAGACCCACUACCAGCUGGGCUUGGCUUAUGGGUACAACUCUCAGUAUGAUGAGGCAGUGGCACAGUUCAGCAAAUCUAUUGAAGUCAUUGAGAAGAGAAUGGCUGUACUAAAUGAGCAGGUGAAGGAGGCUGAAGGAUCGUCUGCUGAAUACAAGAAAGAAAUCGAGGAACUAAAGGAACUGCUACCCGAAAUUAGAGAGAAGAUAGAAGAUGCAAAGGAGUCUCAGCAUAGUGGGAAUGUAGCUGAACUGGCUCUGAAAGCUACUCUGGUGGAGAGCUCUACUUCAGGUUUCACUCCUGGUGGAGGAGGCUCUUCAGUCUCCAUGAUUGCCAGUAGAAAGCCAACAGACGGUGCUUCCUCAUCAAAUUGUGUGACUGAUAUUUCCCACCUUGUCAGAAAGAAGAGGAAACCAGAGGAAGAGAGUCCCCGGAAAGAUGAUGCAAAGAAAGCCAAACAGGAGCCGGAGGUGAACGGAGGCAGCGGGGAUGCUGUCCCCAGUGGAAAUGAAGUUUCGGAAAACAUGGAGGAGGAGGCUGAGAAUCGGGCUGAAAGCCGGGCGGCAGUGGAGGGGACAGUGGAGGCUGGAGCUACAGUUGAAAGCACUGCAUGUUAAGAGGGGGCACAGCCCUCCUAAGGGAAAGUGUUUUUGUAUAUAAUGUAUUUUUUCACUUUUGGAGGAUUCUUUUUGUAUAACUUCAAUAAAGAUUGUAAGC
This 2738-nucleotide small RNA is filed under the name Pongo abelii (Sumatran orangutan). RNAcentral's name for it is "processed transcript". Lineage: Eukaryota; Metazoa; Chordata; Mammalia; Primates; Hominidae. The record is from RNAcentral.